This 73-nucleotide transfer RNA is filed under the name Uromyces viciae-fabae. RNAcentral describes it as "tRNA-iMet (CAT) (tRNA-iMet-CAT-1 1 to 4)". It matches the Rfam family "tRNA". Rfam says of the family: Transfer RNA (tRNA) molecules are approximately 80 nucleotides in length. Their secondary structure includes four short double-helical elements and three loops (D, anti-codon, and T loops). The record is from RNAcentral. Lineage: Eukaryota; Fungi; Basidiomycota; Pucciniomycetes; Pucciniales; Pucciniaceae.
AGCGAGAUGGCGCAGCUGGUAGCGCGCUGGGCUCAUAACCCAGAGGUCGUUGGAUCGAAACCAACUCUCGCUA